RNAcentral lists this ribosomal RNA (301 nucleotides) under uncultured bacterium. Its description in RNAcentral is "partial 16S ribosomal RNA". It matches the Rfam family "Bacterial small subunit ribosomal RNA", at positions 509 to 809 of the family's 1533-position model. The record is from RNAcentral.
CAGUAGCCACGGGAAAACGAGGGGUGCAAGCGUUAUUCGGAUUGAUUGGGUGUAAAGGGUGUGCAGACGGCUUAUUAAGUCACUUGUUAAAUUCUUCGGCCUAACUGAAGGUCUGCAAGUGAUACUGAUGAGCUAGAGGGUGGAAGAGAGAAGUGGAAUUCUCGGAGUAGCGGUAAAAUGCGUAGAUCUCGAGAGGAACACCAAUGGCGAAGGCAAUCCCCUGGGCCUGUACUGACGCUCAUGCACGAAAGCGUGGGGAGCAAACAGGAUUAGAUACCCCCGUAGUCCCUGUCUCUUAUAA